RNAcentral lists this non-coding RNA (410 nucleotides) under Chloroflexota bacterium. Lineage: Bacteria; Bacillati; Chloroflexota. The record is from RNAcentral.
AGGCAGUCGGCGGUCCGCCGCCGGGAGCCCGGUCUCCCGGAGGAACCUCCCGACUCCCAGCCCUUUAAAAGGGCAACGCCGCCCGGCGAAACCAAAAGCCGGGGCACCGGAGGAGUAAUCCUCCGGUGACCACAACCGCAACAGAGAGCAGACCCGCCAGCGGCCCCGAAAGGGGUGCGGGUAAGGGGUGAAACGGUGGGGUAAGAGCCCACCAGCUGUCGCAGCAAUGCGGCAGGCUGGGCGAGUGUGCGGCGGGGAGCAAGGCCGGAGGGCCUGGCCCGGACCAAAAGUCCGGUUAGGUCCGGUCGCAGUGGCAACGGCAAAGGUGGGUAACACCCACCAAGCCAGGAGCCACCAGUGAGACGAAUGGCGGACUAAAACAGAAUCGGGGGUACGGCCACUGCCUUAAU